GGAAUGCCUAGUAAGCGCGAGUCAUCAACUCGCGUUGAUUACGUCCCUGCCCUUUGUACACACCGCCCGUCGCUCCUUCCGAUUGGGUGUGCUGGUGAAGAGUUCGGACUGGCCAAGUGCUCGAAAGGGCGCCGGGCCGGGAAGUUCUU
Molecule: ribosomal RNA, 149 nt
Filed under: Trentepohlia sp. R9
Lineage: Eukaryota; Viridiplantae; Chlorophyta; Ulvophyceae; Trentepohliales; Trentepohliaceae
Description: partial 18S ribosomal RNA
Rfam family: Eukaryotic small subunit ribosomal RNA
Source: RNAcentral